Long non-coding RNA from Raphanus sativus (radish), 1347 nucleotides. RefSeq lists it as uncharacterized. The record is from RefSeq and is a predicted model, not a curated record. Lineage: Eukaryota; Viridiplantae; Streptophyta; Magnoliopsida; Brassicales; Brassicaceae. The transcript is spliced from 5 exons.
AAAACAUUCAAGCCUGAUGGCUUUAGUGAGUUUGGGCUUGACCCAUAAUUAGAAGUUAAAAACACAUAUCAAUGGAACUAAUCCAGCCCAGUAAGAACAGAGAGCAAGCCCUAAUGAAACAUAAAGUUGAUCGGUCUUGAGCAAAGUGAAGCGACUUAGUUUCCUCCGCCACAAGUUAAGCGUGGAGUAACCAGAGUUGCAUCAUUGCAGAGGAGGCUCUAGGAUUUCUCUGUCGGAUAGACUGAAGUCGAUUGCGAAGCUGCUUAUCAAUAGAAGAGAUCAGUGUUUGCGGGGGCUUGAAGAGUUGUCUGUGGAGACGGCUAUUUCGUUCGUUCCAAAUCCAGUAGAUGGAAGCUUGAGUUGCAAGAAGGAGGAGUCGCUGAGAGUCUCUGCCGCGGCGUGACUGCUGGAGUUGAGUGAUGAUAUCGUUCCAAGAGUAAGCUAUUUGAAAAUCACAUCUUCCUGCAAUGAAUCGAAGGAUCUCAGCACUAAAAGGGCAUUCAAAGUACAGAUGAUUUCGGCUUUCAGGAUUAGCAUUGCACAACAAACAACCAGCAUCUACAAUCAACCCCCAACUGAGCAAGCGAUCCUUUGUAGGACAUCGAUCAAGGAGAACCAGCCAGGUUAGGAAGCUGUGUCUAGGGAUGCCGUAAGAGAACCAGACGAUCUUAGCCCAUGGAACGACAGGUUUGGGACCUCUUAGGUAGAUUUGCAGAGCCAACUGGUUAUCCGUUCUGGCCGAAGGAAGGAGCCAGCGGCCAUUCCUGUAAAGUGAAGCUACUGAAGCUGUCUUCGGGAUACCAAGUCUAGAGCUAGCCGCAUUCAAGAACGUGUAGAGUUGUCCAAAGGGUGCCCAGUUAUCAUACCAAAAGUGGGUGUCCUCGCCAUUGCCAAUUUUCUUUUUGAGCAGCGGACCCAAACCGAGUUUGGCCGGAAGAACAACAGCCAGACUAGCUUCAAAAUGCAAGACAGGUUCCACGAGUGGAGGUCCUUUAUUCCUAAGCCACCCUGAUCUUUGAAAGAGACCACAUAGGGAGUUUAUCCUGGUGAUACAUGACUUAGGGAGAAUGAAGCUUGAACACCAGAAGGUUGAGCUUCUUCGUUGUAAAAGGGACACCCAGAUAGCGCAUUGGGAGAGUACCACAAGGCAUUCCUGUUGAAGCUUGAAUGGUAGAGAUCUCCUGCUCUGAGAGGCCCGAAGCAAAAAAGCUAGAUUUCUGCAGACUGACCGCAAGAUCCGAACGUUUCUCAAAGUCGCUUAGAAUCUGGAGAACUCGUUGCACAGAUUCAAUUAAAGUUUUUUUGAAGAAAAAAAGUUAUAAUAUCUGGGGGAAGAAAACUUGUCCU